GACGAACGCUGGCGGCGUGCUUAACACAUGCAAGUCGAACGGAAAGGCCCUGCUUUUGUGGGGUGCUCGAGUGGCGAACGGGUGAGUAACACGUGAGUAACCUGCCCUUGACUUUGGGAUAACUUCAGGAAACUGGGGCUAAUACCAGAUAGGAGCUCCUGCUGCAUGGUGGGGGUUGGAAAGUUUCGGCGGUUGGGGAUGGACUCGCGGCUUAUCAGCUUGUUGGUGGGGUAGUGGCUUACCCAGGCUUUGACGGGUCGGCCGCAUGAGAGGGUGACCGGGCACAUUGGGACUGAGGUACGGCCCAGAGGCGUACGGGAGGCAGCAGUGGGGAAUAUUGCACAAUGGGCGGAAGCCUGAUGCAGCAACGCCGCGUGCGGGAUGACGGCCUUCGGGUUGUAAACCGCUUUCGCCUGUGACGAAGCGUGAGUGACGGUAAUGGGUAAAGAAGCACCGGCUAACUACGUG
This 468-nucleotide ribosomal RNA is filed under the name uncultured bacterium. RNAcentral describes it as "partial 16S ribosomal RNA". It matches the Rfam family "Bacterial small subunit ribosomal RNA", at positions 28 to 507 of the family's 1533-position model. The record is from RNAcentral.